This is a long non-coding RNA of Adelges cooleyi (spruce gall adelgid), 1703 nucleotides long. RefSeq lists it as uncharacterized. The transcript has 4 exons. The record is from RefSeq and is a predicted model, not a curated record. NCBI's taxonomy places the organism in Eukaryota, Metazoa, Arthropoda, Insecta, Hemiptera, Adelgidae.
UAUUAUUCUCUUUUUAGCAUUUCAAAGGUCAUAUAAGGACAGCAAUGGCCCUACGUGGGCUGCUUAAGCUGGUUCCUAUGUAUAUACGUCAGUUGCCAUUUUACUUUUGCACCAAAAGUAUAAAACAAAAAAUAACUCUCAAAAUUCAAACCAUAUAAUAUUAGAUUCGCAAUCUCACUAUUGUCCUAACGGUUGUGGAAAACGUUUCUCGGGCAAAACCGUAAAAUACACAAUUGUUCAACAUUUAAAGUAUCAUUGCGGCGUGGAACCUAAAUUCAAAUGUCACAUGUGCGAUAAAAAAUUCUCAAGAAAAGAAUCAUUAAAACUACAUUUAGCCAACCGACAUGCAAUUAUAUUAAAGUAACAUUGUACCUUAAAAUGUCGAUGAUAUAGAACUCACUUGCUGAAAAGAGUGCAUUUGGCGGGUGUCCAUGAUCCUGCUUUUUGUCCGAAUUUGUGUGGUCGCUUUUAUGGCGGUCGCAACCGAAAAAUCACUCUUAGAAAUCACUUGAUGUUUGAGUGUGGCGUACAAAAGCAGUUCCAGUGUCAAUUUUGCCAAAAGAAGUUUGCCCGAAAGGAGACUUGGAAAGUACACUUGGUCAGUGUACACAAAUUCAUAGUCACAUAACCUACAAGUCUACAACAACCAUGUAUUCAACGACAAGCAUUAUGAUUAUAUCCAAACGAUAAUCGACAUGGCCGCCCUGAACGACCCUGCUUACUGUCCGAACAGAUGCGGUCGUUCGUACAAUGGACAGUAUAGGAAGAGAAAUUUGAGAAAACACUAUGUCUACGAGUGCGGUGUACCGCCUAAGUUUCGUUGUCCGUUGUGCUCAAAACAGUUUACUAGAAACAACGUCAUGACGGCUCAUAUGUUGUUCGUUCAUAAACGCAUGGUGCCACGAUAAAAAAAUGGACCUUAUGCAAUUAAUUGAUGUUUAUAGUAUUUUGUGUGAUUUUUCAAGUAAACGUCUCCAAACAAAAAUAAAACAUUACUCGCAGACGUUUUUUAUAAACACUAUGGUGUAUGCCUGUACUAAAAAAAUCAAUGUACAUAGAAUUUCACAAAUGAAAAUUGUACUUAAGUACGCGUCACUCUACAAUGCGAUGACUAUUGGUUUGUUUAGUCCAUAUUACCUACUCCAUUGUCAUAAUACAAUCCAGUCGAUAUUAUACUAAUAAAAUACGUCAUUUUCUCCGUUAACCGUCAUUUUAAUCUCCUUAUAUGGCAUAACGGCGAUCGAAUUAGUUUAAACGAAAUCUUGUAUUUUAUUUGCGUAAUCGCUUUUGCUUAAACAACACCAAAUGACAGUGUGUAAUGACAUACAGUAAAGUGUAGACUGUAUUCUAUACUAUUAGUAGUUUUUCCAUACACCGCAUCGUUCCAUAUUAUGCUAUAACGUAUUGUAUUGGCGUUUGUCAACACCUGUAGAGAACGCUACGCUGUAAGUUGUAACACUGAUGAUAUAGCGGGGAACCCUGCAAAAAUAACCCACGACGACUACGGGUUUCUCGCUGUAUUAUCAGCUCCGCCAAAGUGUAAUUAUUACUUUGCUGCAAAACGCCAAUAGGUAUACAUACGCCCUACUUCAUUUUUGAUUAUGGUUGUUCGUAGUGCAUUGCAUCAUGCGUAUGCGCCCUUUGAUAAAGGCGAUGUUCUUAUUAAAAUCCUUUUUGGACGUUUUUGCUUUUUUUUUUUUUGC